UGAUUGCCUAUCUCGAUCUCACACGCAGCAAGUAGAUAAAACAUGUCAGUUAAGAAAAUGGCAGUCCAAUACAAGUUGCCACACGAGAUGUGCAGAACUAGGCAUGCAAAAAUAUAUGACAAAAGUGAACAUAAUUACCUUUUCUAUCUUCAGUCACCAAACCAGUAGCCUUCCGUUUCUUAACCAUCGCUAUUUCCCUCUGAGAUGCAAAAACCAAAUAAAAAUGAAAAACAAAUAUGCACCUAUUUUGAAAAAAUGAAGAAAGCAAGGCAUAAAUCGAUAAAACAACCCGCCUAAGAAAACUCAUUAUGUAAAUGGAAAUAAUUGCCAUCUAAAAAUACAUAAGUUGCCAUAUCUAUUUGAACAUAGUUGACAUCUAUUUGGACAUAAUUACCACAUCUAUUUGGACUAUGCCAUGAAAGACCAGAUAACCAAAAAAAAGAGCCAAUCCAUCCCAAACUCCCACCUAAAUAAUGACAAAUAAGUAAUAAUAUAUCCCCCUCCCCCGUCCACUUGCACAUAAAUUGCCGCCUAACAAGGACAUAAAACGCCAUAUCUGAUUUGUGCUACAACAAAAAACAAAUUGACCCAAAUCUUAAUCCAAAUACAUUCCCAAACUUCCCGCUAACUAAAGUUGAACAUGCAGUAAAUUACCACCCUUUUGCACAUGAACAUGCCACAUAACAAGUGAAUAAGUUGCCAUAUUAUGUCAUAUUUGAGCCAAUCUGUGCAAAAAUCACUAUUUGGACAUAUAUAACUGCCAACUAAGAAUACAAAAAUAUGAUUGCACUAUGCAAUGAAAGGAGGAUAACCAAAAAUUGAGCCAAUCCAUCCACAAACUCCCACCUAAGCAUAUGCGAUAAUUUACGACAAACACAAUUAAACACAAAAUUUCGAUUCCAAUCCAUCCCAAAACUGCCAAUUAAACUUUGCCAUAUAAAAGUGGCCUUAUUCUAUCAUAUUUCAGCCAAUCAAACCCAAUGCACACUAAGUUGCCACGAGUGGCCCCUUGUAGUUGCCACCACACUGGGUAACAAAUUGAAUGUUAAUGUAAAAAACAACAUGCACGCUACAAAUUACCCUGCAAAAAUAAGACC
This 1097-nucleotide long non-coding RNA is filed under the name Brachypodium distachyon (stiff brome). Its description in RNAcentral is "long non-coding RNA (BDIS_LNC003569)". Lineage: Eukaryota; Viridiplantae; Streptophyta; Magnoliopsida; Poales; Poaceae. The record is from RNAcentral.